Long non-coding RNA from Pygocentrus nattereri (red-bellied piranha), 1846 nucleotides. Lineage: Eukaryota; Metazoa; Chordata; Actinopteri; Characiformes; Serrasalmidae. The record is from Ensembl.
AUUGCUGUUUCCCUAGAUUACUGAGGGGUCUUUCUCUGACUCCUUGACUUGUGUUUUGAGCCCUUUGACUGUUUUUGGAUUUUGCCCUUUUGGAUUUGCCCUUCUGCUCUGAUUGCCUAUGUUUUUGUCUAUUCUGGUUUUUGACUCUUGCUUAGGUUUUGGAUUUGCCCUGAGACCGUGUUUUGUUCUAACACCUUUCUUGUUAAGCAGACUUUUGUUUAUAAGAUCUGCGAGUGUCUUCUUGUGCUUGUGCACCGUUACAGAAUACCUUGCCACAACCAAGAUGGCAGAUCUGAGAGAACUCCACAGUACUGUCAACAACCAAGGUCCAUUAUUAGCACAACAUAAUCAGCUUUCUGAGUCGCUGUCUGGGUCUGUGGGGAAGCUUACUCAUCAGCAGUUAGAACAACAAAACUUCUGCAUAUUGCCUCUGACAACCAAUCUCCUGUCCUUCCAGUUAAGUCAGUUGGCUCAUAAACCCUUGACUUACUCAACUCCUGUAGGAAACCGCACAGUACCUGAACCAGCUCCCAACCCUGAGGACCAUUUUUUCGGUGAGCAAACCAGAUAAAUAUGACGGGAGUCCUAAUUUGUUACAGUGCUUGUUGUAUUUUUCAGAUGCUCCAGUUAGUCCUGACAACAGACGUGUUGCAUUUCUGAUUUCCAGACUUACUGGUAAAGCUUUAGAUUGGGCCACAGCAGUUGGAACAGAGCACAUAUGCAGAUGUUUUACAUAGCUUUAGGGCUGUUUUUGAUCACCAUCAUGAGCGACGAUUCCAAGGGGAACUAUUGCCAGAGUUCACGAUCUGUAGCGGAUUAUUCUUUGGAAUUUAGGACCUUAGCAGCUGGAAGUGGCUGGAAUGAGCCUGUGCUUAUUAUGACUUUCUGUAAUGGACUUGAUUCUGAGAUUUUGACAGAACUUGCCUGUACGGAUGAUGGACUGUCAUUGGAUGACCUCAUUGCUCUCGCUAUCCCAUUGGACCAGUUAAAGCAGAGUUCUGAACUCAGGGUGCAUCGUCUCGCCGCACAUCAUACCACACAACGGACCAGUCCAUCACCCAAACCUGUGAAACCUGAUGUCCCUGUUGCUGAGCCUAUGCAAGUGGACACCUCCUGUCUGUCCAAGGAGGAGAGCUUACGCAGGCUAUAUGGGGGUCUGUGCUUAUACUGUGGAGAAGCGGGUCAUGUUCUACAUGAUCGUCACAUCUGUUCAAACAGACCUCAGCCUAAAUCGACUUGGGCCCAAGGCAGUUCCAUCCAAGCUGGUCUGCUGAACCAGUUGGAGAUUGAGACAGAACCACUGUCAACACCGUUACGUCUGUCAGCCAUGGACGGGGCACCUAUUAAACUAGGGAGCGUGACUCUCAAAACAUGACCUGUUAAAAUGAAUGUUAGUGCUCUACGUGCUGAGGACAUUUUUUUUCUGUGUGCUUGAAAGCACUGACUAUGCUGUGAGUUUAGGUUUCUCCUGGCUGAAAAUGCAUGAUCCCAAUAUCUCCUGGUCCCACAGAAAUCUUUUCCUGGUCCUCUUAUUACAUAGAACAGUUUGCAAGUCCCUCCCAUUAGUGCUAAUUCCAUGUCUGUGGAGAGUCCUGCUGUGAACACUAAGAUUGACAUUCCCUUCAAAUAUACUGAUCUUGCUGACGUCUUUGUCAAAGUAAAUGCCAUGAAAUUGCCACCUCACAGAGACUGUGAUUGUUCUAUUGAACUCCUUGGUAAUCAAUUACCUCCCAAAUCUCGUGUUUUAUCCUCUCACCCAGGCUGAGGAAGUCGCCAGGGAAGAGUAUGUGCAGGAAGCCCUAGACCAAGGGUUUAUUCGUCCCUCCACAUCCCCAGUAGCUGCAGG